RNAcentral lists this ribosomal RNA (467 nucleotides) under uncultured bacterium. RNAcentral's name for it is "bacterial SSU rRNA". It matches the Rfam family "Bacterial small subunit ribosomal RNA", at positions 477 to 944 of the family's 1533-position model. The record is from RNAcentral.
ACCGAUAAAGAAAGCACCGGCUAAUCUCGUGCCAGCAGCCGCGGUAAUACGAGAGGUGCAAGCGUUAUUCGGAAUUAUUGGGCGUAAAGCGUGCGCAGGCGGUUUUGUAAGACAGUGGUGAAAUCCCCGGGCUCAACCUGGGAACUGCCAUUGUGACUGCAAGGCUGGAGUGCGGCAGAGGGGGAUGGAAUUCCGCGUGUAGCAGUGAAAUGCGUAGAUAUGCGGAGGAACACCGAUGGCGAAGGCAAUCCCCUGGGCCUGCACUGACGCUCAUGCACGAAAGCGUGGGGAGCAAACAGGAUUAGAUACCCUGGUAGUCCACGCCCUAAACGAUGUCAACUGGUUGUUGGGAAUUUAUUUUCUCAGUAACGAAGCUAACGCGUGAAGUUGACCGCCUGGGGAGUACGGCCGCAAGGUUAAAACUCAAAGGAAUUGACGGGGACCCGCACAAGCGGUGGAUGAUGUUC